This is a long non-coding RNA of Syngnathoides biaculeatus (alligator pipefish), 712 nucleotides long. RefSeq lists it as uncharacterized. The transcript is spliced from 3 exons. Lineage: Eukaryota; Metazoa; Chordata; Actinopteri; Syngnathiformes; Syngnathidae. The record is from RefSeq and is a predicted model, not a curated record.
UGAGAAGAAGAAAGCGCUAGACGAACAAAUGAAACAAGCAAGUUCUUGUUGUUAGCUUCACAGUUGUCUUCGCUCUAGUAAACACGGAGUCAGCCAGCUGUGAAAGACCCCCCCCAGCCUUGUUCUCGUGCUUAUUAGUCACAACCUGAGGGAGGGCGGGGAGCGAAAUCAUAUCUGCCUUUCUGAAGGAUAAUGUGACAAAUGAGGCAGGCCGCAACAACAUUCGGAUGCAGCGGUUUCAAGGAGAAACGGAUGUCAUCUGGGACACGUGCAUCACAUUCAAGUGUAUUCAGCUGACUAGUCUCCAAAACAUAUUUUCCUAUCGAGGGUGUGUUCUACGACUUCCGAUAAAGCUGCAUGAGAAAAUCUCGUCCCUCUUAAGUGCUGCUAUUUUUAAAUGACGGACGAUGUUUUAUCCAAGUUCCAUGCGUUAUUUAUGUCCGAUGUGAAUUUAUUUCAUAACCCCAGGGAUUGGGAAUAGUCAUCUGAUACAAAAGGGAGGAGAUAUUGAAGGGAGCAGGUAUUGAGUGCACAAGUCCCCCACUGUAAAUCAGUAGCCAGUUCGCGAGGGUGAUUAGUUCUGGGUCACGUGAGGUCAUGACUAGUCAACUUGCUGCUGAGAACCAUUUUACCUUUUGAUUUAAAUGUGUUCCACAUCCUACUGCUGUCAAAUAUGACAAAAGCGCUCAGGCGCAAAUUCAGUUGUUGUUGA